GUGGGGAAUCUUAGACAAUGGGGGAAACCCUGAUCUAGCCAUGCCGCGUGAGCGAUGAAGGCCUUAGGGUUGUAAAGCUCUUUCAGCUGGGAAGAUAAUGACGGUACCAGCAGAAGAAGCCCCGGCUAACUCCGUGCCAGCAGCCGCGGUAAUACGGAGGGGGCUAGCGUUGUUCGGAAUUACUGGGCGUAAAGCGCGCGUAGGCGGACCAGAAAGUUGGAGGUGAAAUCCCAGGGCUCAACCUUGGAACUGCCUUCAAAACUCCUGGUCUGGAGUUCGAGAGAGGUGAGUGGAAUUCCGAGUGUAGAGGUGAAAUUCGUAGAUAUUCGGAGGAACACCAGUGGCGAAGGCGGCUCACUGGCUCGAUACUGACGCUGAGGUGCGAAAGCGUGGGGAGCAAACAGGAUUAGAAACUCUGGUAGUCC
RNAcentral lists this ribosomal RNA (425 nucleotides) under uncultured bacterium. RNAcentral's name for it is "partial 16S ribosomal RNA". It matches the Rfam family "Bacterial small subunit ribosomal RNA", at positions 354 to 796 of the family's 1533-position model. The record is from RNAcentral.